Schizosaccharomyces pombe (fission yeast) is the source of this 802-nucleotide non-coding RNA. NCBI's taxonomy places the organism in Eukaryota, Fungi, Ascomycota, Schizosaccharomycetes, Schizosaccharomycetales, Schizosaccharomycetaceae. The record is from the annotation of a GenBank genome assembly.
AUUUCUUUUGUUUAAGGAAACACACAAAAAUAAUGUAAGAGUAGCAGCAAAACUGCUAGGAACAUUUUGUUCUAUGGAAAAAGACACUGAAGUGAAAAGUGCAACGAAGGGGUAGAACUUUCGUAGGAAGGAAAAACAAGCAAAGAGAAAAAAAUUUACAAAAGUUCCUAGAUCACUCCAUCUAUAUGCAAAUGCAUAAUGUACGGUGUAUGCUCGAACAAAGUAGAAAGGGGGCUAUAAAAACGAUUUGAGGAUAAUCCUUUAUUAAUGAGAAAAAAUUUGGAACGUCUAGUUUUGCGCCAACAUCAAGGGAAGACAAAAAAAAUUUUCAUUAAAACAGACUCAAUAAUGUUCAAUUGAGAUAGAAGAAUACAGAAAGAGUCGAAUGAUUGAACAUGUGGUGAAAAAGGCUGAAGAUGAAACUAGAUAGAAAGAGGCUGUAUUCCCAACAUCCAAAAAUGAGGAAAAACUAAAGAAGAGAAGGAAAGUGGAAUAAAAUGAAGAAAUUAAAAGAGAAAAUCAUACGAUGAAACUGAGAAGAAGAAGAAGGCAUUUUAUUUUAAUUUUAUUAAUUUUAUUAGAUUUCAUUUCGUUUGACGCUUUACGGUUUCAUGAAAUGCCAAAUUGCUAAUUCUUUAUUAGAUUUUGGAGUAUUUUCAUUGUUAGUCUGCGAGUAUUUUCAUUAUUAGUUUGUAUUUAAAAAGUUUCAUCGUAUGUUUCUAUAGAUGCGUUUUUUUUUACAUUAUUUGAAUUGAAUGAAGAAUUGAUUUGCUAUAAGAGAAAUUUUUGACUUGGUAUGGUU